Long non-coding RNA from Oncorhynchus kisutch (coho salmon), 3042 nucleotides. RefSeq lists it as uncharacterized. NCBI's taxonomy places the organism in Eukaryota, Metazoa, Chordata, Actinopteri, Salmoniformes, Salmonidae. The transcript has 3 exons. The record is from RefSeq and is a predicted model, not a curated record.
UGUUUGGCCAUGUGGGUGUGUCUGACCAUGUGGGUGUGUCUGACCAUGUGGGUGUGUCUGUCCAUGUGGGUGUGUCUGCCCAUGUGGGUGUGUCUGUUGAUAGCCAGUCUGUAGCCACAGCUCAGGAGAAACUAGUCAGAACUCAGAACUAAUUACUGGGUAUCCCGUGUCACCAACCACCAUUUUGUGAAAGCACAUUGGGUUAAGGACUGAGUUGGACACAGUCAUUCAUGCUAGAAUCUAGAUUAUGGAUUUCCAGGACUGACAUUUUUUUCUGAGUGAACUAUCUAGCUAAAUACAGAUAGCCCAAGUGUCCUUAACAGAUAGCUAGAGUACUGUUAGUGUAUUCUAGUAUUAUUGUCAUCACUAUACUGUAUGUUCAGAGAAACCAUUCUGAUUACAGUACUUGUAAUGAACACGAUGGGAGACAGAGAGCUGGUUUCAAGCGCAGUGCGCAGCUGGUGUUUAUUAGCAAAGGAGGAGACUGGUAGCUGGGUCCAGGGGCAGGCAGAAGGUCAUACACAGGAGGAGGCAGGUAGCUGGGUCCAGGGGCAGGCAGAAGGUCAUAUACAGGAGGAGACAGGAAGCUGGGUCCAGGGGCAGAAGGUCAUACACAGGAGGAGACAGGUAGCUGGGUCCAGCAGUCUCCUCUGCACUGUGUUGAUACCUGAUGUCUGUUGAGUCAUGAUAUCCCAGCAGUCUCCUCUGCACUGUGUUGAUACCUGAUGUCUGUUGAGUCAUGAUAUCCCAGCAGCCUCCUCUCCACUGUGUUGAUACCUGAUGUCUGUUGAGUCAUGAUAUCCCAGCAGUCUCCUCUCCACUGUGUUGAUACCUGAUGUCUGUUGAGUCAUAAUAUCCCAGCAGCCUCCUCUCCACUGUGUUGAUACCUGAUGUCUGUUGAGUCAUGAUAUCCCAGCAGUCUCCUCUCCACUGUGUUGAUACCUGAUGUCUGUUGAGUCAUGAUAUCCCAGCAGCCUCCUCUCCACUGUGUUGAUACCUGAAGUCUGUUGAGUCAUGAUAUCCCAGCAGUCUCCUCUCCACUGUGUUGAUACCUGAUGUCUGUUGAGUCAUGAUAUCCCAGCAGUCUCUCCUCCACCACUGACAGCUCCCAGAUCCAGUCACCUCUGAAAAGCUGUUAAAUAUUGAAGCACUGUGAUACUUUACCCUCUGCUGCUUUGUAGCUGGGGCUGCUUCCCAAACGGCACUCUAUUCCCUAUAUAGUGCACUACUGUUGACCACGGGCAAAUAGGGCUAGUUGUUGCGCUAUGUAGGGAAUAGAGUGUUGUUUGGGAAGCAGCCCUUGAGGUCACAUGAACAGAUGUAGUUUGUAAUUCAGCUCAUCUCAACAGUAAAUCCACAGCAGGCUCUUUGUGUUGCUAGGAUCAGUCAGGUAGGAGGAGAAAGACAGUGUCUGUUGGUUUGAGUUGGUAGAGUUAGUCAGGUAGGAUGAUAAAGACAGUGUCUGUAGGUAGAGUUAGUCAGGUAGGAUGAUAAAGACAGUGUCUGUAGGUAGAGUUAGUCAGGUAGGAGGAGGAAGACUGUGUCUGUAGGCAGAGUUAGUCAGGUAGGAUGAUAAAGACAGUGUCUGUAGGUAGAGUUAGUCAGGUAGGAGGAGGAAGACUGUGUCUGUAGGCAGAGUUAGUCAGGUAGGAUGAUAAAGACAGUGUCUGUAGAUAGAGUUAGUCAGGUAGGAGGAGGAAGACUGUGUCUGUAGGCAGAGUUAGUCAGGUAGGAGGAGAAAGACAGUGUCAGUAGGUAGAGUUAGUCAGGUAGGAUGAUAAAGACAGUGUCUGUUGGUAGAGUUAGUCAGGUAGGAUGAUAAAGACAGUGUCUGUAGGUAGAGUUAGUCAGGUAGGAUGAUAAAGACAGUGUCUGUUGGUAGAGUUAGUCAGGUAGGAUGAUAAAGACAGUGUCUGUAAGUAGAGUUAGUCAGGUAGGAUGAUAAAGACAGUGUCAGUAGGUAGAGUUAGUCAGGUAGGAGGAGGAAGACUGUGUCUGUAGGCAGAGUUAGUCAGGGAGGAUGAUAAAGACAGUGUCUGUAGGUAGAGUUAGUCAGGUAGGAUGAUAAAGACAGUGUCUGUUGGUUUGAGUUGGUAGAGUUAGUCAGGUAGGAUGAUAAAGACAGUGUCAGUAGGUAGAGUUAGUCAGGUAGGAUGAUAAAGACAGUGUCAGUAGGUAGAGUUAGUCAGGUAGGAUGAUAAAGACAGUGUCAGUAGGUAGAGUUAGUCAGGUAGGAUGAUAAAGACAGUGUCAGUAGGUAGAGUUAGUCAGGUAGGAGGAUAAAGACAGUGUCUGUUGGUUUGAGUUGGUAGAGUUAGUCAGGUAGGAUGAUAAAGACAGUGUCAGUAGGUAGAGUUAGUCAGGUAGGAUGAUAAAGACAGUGUCAGUAGGUAGAGUUAGUCAGGUAGGAUGAUAAAGACAGUGUCUGUAAGUAGAGUUAGUCAGGUAGGAUGAUAAAGACAGUGUCAGUAGGUAGAGUUAGUCAGGUAGGAGGAGGAAGACUGUGUCUGUAGGCAGAGUUAGUCAGGGAGGAUGAUAAAGACAGUGUCUGUAGGUAGAGUUAGUCAGGUAGGAUGAUAAAGACAGUGUCUGUUGGUUUGAGUUGGUAGAGUUAGUCAGGUAGGAUGAUAAAGACAGUGUCAGUAGGUAGAGUUAGUCAGGUAGGAUGAUAAAGACAGUGUCAGUAGGUAGAGUUAGUCAGGUAGGAUGAUAAAGACAGUGUCAGUAGGUAGAGUUAGUCAGGUAGGAGGAUAAAGACAGUGUCUGUUGGUUUGAGUUGGUAGAGUUAGUCAGGUAGGAUGAUAAAGACAGUGUCAGUAGGUAGAGUUAGUCAGGUAGGAUGAUAAAGACAGUGUCAGUAGGUAGAGUUAGUCAGGUAGGAUGAUAAAGACAGUGUCUGUAAGUAGAGUUAGUCAGGUAGGAUGAUAAAGACAGUGUCAGUAGGUAGAGUUAGUCAGGUAGGAUGAUAAAGACAGUGUCAGUAGGUAGAGUUAGUCAGGUAGGAUGAUAAAGACAGUGUCAGUAGGUAGAGUUAGUCAGGUA